Molecule: long non-coding RNA, 8853 nt
Organism: Pseudopipra pipra
Lineage: Eukaryota; Metazoa; Chordata; Aves; Passeriformes; Pipridae
Exons: 2
Source: RefSeq, a predicted model, not a curated record
CCUUGAUUCAGCUCCAUUUAAACACAGCUGUACCAGGAAAAUUCUAUGCUUUGUCAGCAGUAGGGCAUCUAGUUUAUUUUCCUGUACUGUGACACUUAGUAUGGGACACCUGCACAAAGCCUGGCAAAUCUUUGAAGUGAGACUUCUUGUCCCCAUGCCUUGUCCAUGUCUGUGCUGGGCAGGGUCUCCAGGGGCUCAGGGAGGCCCACCCUGCUUUCAGGCCUCACCUUGGGGAUGGAGGUGGAACUGUGCUGCACUCCCCUAGACCUCCCAAUAGACAACAGAGGGAAAUAAGCACUUCCACAUGCUGGUUUGGAUCCCACAGAGGCUAUCAAGGGAGCAUGCAGUUCUUGCAUCCCAGUGGGAUCAGCCUGAGCCCUGGAUAAGUAUUUGCAGUGACUGCUUUGUGCUAGUGGGGCUUGUAGACAAAUGAAUAAACAAACAGUGCUCUCUUCCCAUCUUUGCUUUGCAAAAACGUAAGGGAAAAAACUUUCACACCCUUUGUUAGGACAUCAGUGCCAGAGGAAAGACACCAGCCAUUAUUCCAUUCACAUCUCCCGUUUUCAUUUCCAACUGUUUCUCUGGAUUCCCUUUUUUUCAAUUUCUUCCCCCCUCUUCAGCUGUUUGAGCAAUGGCCUGUUCUUACGAAACAAGUUUUCAGCUUCAUAACAGUCCUGACUUCUCACUGUCUGAAAGGCAAGAGGGUCACUGAGAAUGAACUGUCUCACACUAGAUGGUGUUUUUCCACAUGGAAAUGCUGAAGGGCCACUCUGUGCUGUCAGCCCAGAAAGGCCAGAAGAUGCCUUCAGACUCCCCAGGUGCCUCUGUGUUUGUUUUCUAAUGUUAUUCCACACACAAUAUCAUUAAUAUUAUGUCCAAAGCUUGUCUUUUUAAACAGAGUCAACACAUCUAACCUAUUAGUCAGCCACUGGGAAAAAGGAAAGGAUUAAGUCAACACUGUGAGGAAUUAACCCUUUUCAUUGCCCAGAGAAGAAAUCAAAGAGGAUACAACCUCCUUAAAUUGCAAAAGGGACUUGAUUGUUUUCUCUCACAAAGCAGUGGAAAUAUUUCCUCUCCCCUUGGCCCUCAGGUGUAAAGGGUGUCCUGCAGGAAUCGGACAGGACUGGUGACUUACAGGCCAUCGUUCCCUUUCCCGUGGUACACACCACUGAAGGGCAGGAAAUUUCCUCCCAGCCACCUUUCUCUUUUUUUGACUCUCCAUUUCCCUGUGGGCUGCCCCAGGUACUGGGCUGGGCUUGGCAGGCAGACACAGUCAGGAACAGGGGCGAGACUGCCCCGAGCGCAGUGUCCGGGCGCUGAGUGAGCGCCCAAUGGGCCGUAGCAAAGCGCACAACCAAGUCAAAGGAAAGUGGAAAGUAUUUCAUAAAAUUCAUCUUUGCAUCCCUUUUUCCUCUCUUGAUAUAUGGCCCCUCGUUCCCAGCUGCCCGGCCCGGCCCCGUGUAAAUAUGUCAGUGCACCAAUGAGACGGAACAGGGGCGCAGGAGCACCAGGGCUGCUCCCAGAUAAAACACCGAGCUGGAGCCCAGCAGUUUAUUGUAAAUAAAGAUCAAGGCAAAGCAGCAACAUUUCUGUUCGACUCAAGCCUGCCAAGGUUGCUAGUCCAGCUGCUUUCACGACUCCCAUAUGUCCACACGGAUUUCCCCUUCCACAGUGCCAUGUUACUCCUCUGACAGCUCCACAGCCUCCGCAAAGUUCCUCCACGCUCUCCAUGAGCUGCUUUCCAAGCACCUGGAGCACGGGGGGCACGGGGGGCAGGGGGUGCACGGGUGGGCAUGCAGGGGAGCACUGCUCUCCCAACUGCUCAGCUCCAGUACUGCUGAGCCUGAGCAGUCCCUCUGUGGGGCAGGGACAUGUUAAUGCUUGGUUUGGUUCUGCUCAGCAGAGGGCACUGGAUCCUGGAAAAGGGAGCUGAUGCUGGGGACCACAGGGGCCUGAUUGCUUUAGCAGAUGGACUGAUUUUUUUCCUUCUGGAUGCUGGUGGUAUGGAAGAGAAGUCUGCAGCUCUGUCUGCUGCUUGCUGAUUGACCAAGAGACAACCAUGGCAUGUGUUAGCAGGAGCCUGACACUGUCCCUCCAGCUCUGGUACUGUACAUCAUUAUCCUGAACACCACAAGGCAGAGAGGUAAGUAGAUGAUAAACUUGGCUGGAAGUUUUGUUCAGUAGCAAUUUCCCUUAACAGUUUUAAAGCGUGAUUUAAAUAUUUUUAUCAGUUCCUUGACAGGUUAAUGGGGUACAUGGACAGGAGACUUCUGCUUUAUCCCCUGCAGCCCUGACAAUUUGAGGUGUUGCCUGGCUCAGCUCCUAGAGGAAGGAAUAACUUGCACUUCUCUCCAGUGAUUUCCUGAUGCUCACUGGUGGAUGGCAGACAUGAUUCACUCCAGAAGGUACUGCUGAGUGCUCCCAGGUAUCUGAUCUGCCAAGGAAAGCUGGUAGCAUCAGCUCCCAUAAGAUCUCCCUCUCCUGAGGAGAGGCUGGUGUCAGCCCUGAGAGCUGACAUCGAACUGGGGAGUUUUGUUAGAAGCUGACUGAGAACGUGGUGCUGUUAUUAUCUGACACGGCUGAAACAAAAGCCAAACGUUGAUGAAUGUCUGAUCCUAAAAGUAAACAGUUUGAUUUUUUUUUUCCUUUGCGAGUCAGGGGCCCUCUAGGGUUUUAUCUGAUUUUGGCAAUCUCCUGCACAUUUUGGGGCCUGGAGCAUGGUUUUAAUUGUUACAUCACAAAAGUUGCCAAAUAAUGUUGGAUGCUCCUUAAAAACUCUCUCAAUUUUAUGGAACUUCUCAACGGCUUGACUAAUACAAUAAUUACUGGAACUCGGCUAUGUUGCCUAGUGGCAAAUGGAAUUUUUUCAUAAUGAUCCUGUCUGUCGUUAAUAGCAGGAUUUGUUCUUUCUCUCAGCGGGAGAGAGGCCAGAAAGCCACGGUAUCUGUCUUUUUUAAUGACAGCCAACAGCAAACGGAUAAAAUAAUCAAUUAUAUCCACAGAUAGGUAGAUAAAGUGUAAUUUAUCAUGUCAAAAACAAAAAUGUUUUUAAUUGGGCUGUUAAUCAUUUUGUAAUUUUAACUAAAGAGAUGGGGACUCUACUUUGUGUUCAGACAUCACUAAUAUUUCAUACAACAUUAGCAGAUCUUAUUAUAGCUUUAAUAAUAGUGUUUACCACUAACUGCCAAAAUACGAAAUGCGAUUUCUGCUCUCAUUAGCUGGAGCCUUUGCAGUUAUAAAAGGAUGCCCUUCCCUUCUAUUUUUCUUCUUCUGGAAAGACCCAGAAGAAAAAAAACAGGGUUCAGCAGACUGAUCAGCUGUAACAGAUUUUAAAAUAUGCUGAUCUUUAUGUUUGGUUAGCAGUACCCAUACUAGUUACCAACAAACAUGUUACAGAAAUUAUGAUAUUUUACUUUUUUUUGUUCUUUUUUAGAAAAAAAGCAUAUAAAGAGAUUAGUGUAACGCAGCAGAAAUUGGAAGCUUGGAGUUUUGGUUUCUAGCCACACCUGCGCUGUCUUGUGGGAAGCUGGGCAGAUCAUUUAAUCCCUCCUAACUUGUUCUCCAUGUCUGUUAUGUAGGUAUUAGAUGGCUGCAUCAUCAGGUUGCUGUAGAGUAUGGAGGUGUUGUAAGAUUCAUGUAAAUUUGUAAUAAAGAUGGCAAACAUCUGGAUGGCUGGUGCAAUAGCAGCCUCUCUGACAGCCACCUCUUUGAGGGAGGAAAUGGGUAGUUUAUGGCUGGACCUAAAUCUUCCCCACAUUAUAACUGAGAAUGUCUUCACAAUGCUGCCUGACUUCAGGAUCAGGGAGGAAUCCUGAGCAGGAAAACCUCUCAGCACUGGAGUGCUGUGGCUGUCCACACUUCUGUUAUUGCCAUGAGCAGAUGCCCUGUGUGGGACCAGAUCUCUAUUUUACCUAUAAGUUCUACAUUAAAAAAAUGCCAGUCAUGCUCAGAACAGAAAUGUUGGGACCCCUUUGCCUCAAACACACUGAAAUUACUUCCUUGUUCAGAAGUGUUUUGCAGAGGCAAAUUAAUCUCCGUUCCCCUCGACUUGUUUUCCCUCUGAAAAGCUCUACCUGCCUUAAAUGAAGGCACAGCCUCCAGAGGACCUGUCUGGGAGGAGAACAUGCACUCAAGGUAGUUUGGCCAGGGCAGAUUUCACUUGCAGUGUUAAGGUGGACAUUUUUGGCUGUGGCUUUGAUUUUAUGUCCACAGCAUCUCCCAGCAAUGCAUGGAAUACAGAGAGGGACAGCACUGCCCUUCCUGUCAUUGGAUCUUUCCUGGGAGUGAGGGAAAGUUAGUGGAUUGAGUGGAUUUUUUACAGGUCUGUGGCAGGAUUGAGGCUGUCUUCAUCCUGAGAAGCAGGGAGGGGAGGCUCUGGGGCUGGUUUGCCCGAGCAUAAAUAAAUUGGAGGUGCACGAACAUUCAGAAAAUUCCCAGAGAGUCACGUUGCACAAGUUAAUGGGCCUGGUGCCUUCACCUGUGCCAAUUUUAUGUGACUCUUAACUCUGGUGUUAAAUAAAAAUGAGGCUUGCUCUAAUGACAUCAACAGCCUUCAGUGCAGAAAGUAUGCUGCUACUUUGAUACAGAUCCCCUUUUAAGGAGGACACAGGAGACAGCCAAGGCUUUUUUCCCAUCUGUUGGGUGAAUGUAACGAUCCCCUGCUCAGAAGUGUGGUCUCAACAACACUCCUCCGCUCUCAGCAUCACACUGGAUGAUUUCAUUAAGAACAUGGUUAUCUGGUGCCCCUGCUUUUGCCACCUCGAUUUUACUCUCCCUCUCCAUUACAUGAAAGGAUGGAAAAGGGGGACAUGAGUUGGCUGGGGGAGGAGAGAAAAUAGCAUGAGGAGGGGGUUAAAAGAACCAGCUGUUAUGUGUGAGGUAUCUGCUUUCUAAUUGCUUCUGUUGGAAUUCAGGGGGAAAAGGCACUGGCUUCAGUUAAUUAAUAAGGCAGGACUCACAUAAACUCCAGCUGUGAGCACAGGACUGGUCUUUAAAGGAUAAGCCCAGGAGGUGGGGCAGGGAGUUUGAUUUCCUCACACUAAAUCCCAUCACAUGCUGUUGGUAGUGUGUGUGUCCACUUAAGCCUUUUGGUUGGCCUGUCUGAACCAGACAGGAGGUGUCUGUUGCUGUCCACGUGCCUCACUCCAAGAAAAAUGAUCUGUCCUCAGAAAUCAAAGAUGUGAGGCUGUGUUUCAGGCUGGGGUGAAACUGCUGUGUUUUCACUCCAGUUUGGAAUCCCUAAAAAGUGGGUAUGUUUGGAUCAAAGAUUUUUGUUCAGAAUUAACAAAAGCAUGGGCUUUUGCAGCUGGACCCAGAUACAGGUUUGCCCUUUGGUCCUCUUUUCUGUCAGAGGGUUUGGAUUUGGCAUCCUGUCAACAUCUCUCUCUUCAAGGGUAGCACUGGUGGGGUGGUUGUGCAGCUGAUGCCUCCAGACCAUGUCCAAAGGCCAUUUUACAGUGAUCCCUUUGAGAGGAACAAUGCACAGUUCAUUUCUCUUUUUUUGAGAGGGGCUCAAAAAGAUCAGGACUUUUCCUGAGUUACAGGAAAAGUUACAGACAAUGCCCCUAAAACCCAUAUGAACAUGCAAAUGCCACAGUGUUUUCUCAUUUGGUCCUGUUCCAGGUCUUGCUGCCACAAGACAUCCCCCACCACCAAUGCAAGGUCUUUCUGGUCUGAGAACAGCUUGGGGUCUACGCUGAGACCAAAGUUUUCUUUCACUUCCCAUGGGAUGGCAUCUCUGGGUUUCAAAGCUUGUUGUUUAAGUGUGUUAUGUUAGGAAACAGCAGAAUCAGAAAAAAAAAGGUGGAUGUUCCUAUGUAGUUAAGAGCCUGUUUUUCCUCAGUGGUUGUGGAGGGAAAUGAGCUUCCUGCCUAAGGUGAGAUGUCAUUUGCUGGAUGGAAACCUUUGUGUCCCCGCUGGCCCGAUCCCUUCGGUGCCACUGCUCAGGGCAGGUCUCUUCCAGGGGGAUGGCUCUCCCUCCCUGGCCCUCUCCUGUCCUGGCACCAUGCUCUUACCUUGCAUCAGCCCUGAUGCUCCUCAGCUGAGUGCUGGGGUCAGCACAAGGGAGGGGACAUGGCCAUGGGGCUGCAGAUGGGUUGGGGAAGGAGGAGCACUCCUUUUGGCACAGAGGGCCCAGCUCACCGUGCCCUUCCUCAGGGAACCUCACAGCCCGAGCAUCCCGGAGGAUUCUGCUGUUUCACUGCCCCUGAUUUCAGUGACAGCUCAGCCUGGUGUGAGACUAAACACCCAGGUACAUGAUUAGCCCCAGUCCCCUGAGCUGGACUUCCCACCCAGAGAGAAAACCAGCUCUGGGGUGUUACAGCAUGGUUCCAAGUGAGCGAGGUGGGGCCUCGCUUUGCAAAGCUCUAGAAACAGCAGCUCUUUGUCUCCUCCAUGUCUCCUCACCCUGAACGUGUUGCUGUUUUCAGAGGUUGGUUUCAAAGUGCUGAUUCACAGCCACCAGCCCUAUUGUUUUAUCUGAGGAGAUUAGGGCUGAGAAUGUUGCAGUUUUGUAGUGAAAACACUCCAUUGGAAAUAGCAGCAUAGCUGACAUGAGACUGUUAUUUAUGCUCAAAUAACCAUCUCCCUUAAAGAUGAGGAGUCUCUUUUUUAUUCCUUUUCAAGUUUAGAUCAAUCAUGUAUGAAGACAAACUCCCACUCAGCCUCCCUUGGCCCCUAAUUUUUUCAUUUUGUUCUUCUUCUGCUCAUUAUUUUAUGAUUUUGUCCUUGACUGGAACAUUUCUCUCUUGUUCUUCCUUACAUGCACCAUUGAAGAGGGAAAGGACUUACAUAUAGAGCUCGAGACUUGUGUAGCUCUUCAGCCAUAAAUAACAUUUUAUACAGAUUCUAAGAUGAUUAAAUCCUUCUAGUUAGCCUCCCUCUUUCUUUUACGGCUCAUCUGGUUAGAGGAGACAUAUUCUUUUGAAACUUAACUAUUUCUGUUUCACUUUUGCAAGCAGACAUGAGGAGACAGGACCUGGCUGUAUGCACUGCUGAUCAGAACACUUGCCAUAGGAAUGCAGAACAGCUUGCCUGCAAGAGAACUGAUUGUUGGCGUGGAAGAAAAGCCCUAAAAUUCUGAGAUGCAGUCGAGUUCCUGAACACAGGCAAGUCUACAAUCGAAACUGAGAUCUGUUUAUCUGGGGAGAUAAAUGCUCUCAAAAUACGCUUUUCUGGAGAGGCUGACAGGCACAAAAUCAGGGAAGGGAAUGCUCUGGUAUGAGGACAGAGUUCUGCUCAGGCAGUAACUGAUGCUGGACAGCUGUAGGAACUGGCCCACUGGGCUCUGUGCUUUGCACCCCGUAACUCCAUACCCAGCUUCUUUUGAUACCAGGCUCGGGCUUCCUGGAGCCAGGCAUCAGCUUUUCCCUACAAAUGCAGCCAAAGCAGCUGCUGCACUUUGCAGAGAUCCUGAGACUGUAGUGCUGAGCUGCUCUUCCUUCUGCUUGCUGGGAUCUGCUCAGCUCAGGCAGUUCCUCGGGGGAACGGCCAGUGAGUCAGGCCUUGUUGGGGUUACACACUGUGGAGCUGAGCACAGAGAGCAGAAAUAGCCCCACCAAAGUGACUGAGAAGUGCUGAAAAGCCUCACAGUAGACAGCCUACACAAUGAAAUGAUCUCCUCCAAUUAGCCCAUGGUCAUCAGUGAGGCAAAUCCUCUGCCUCCUGGGCUGGGCAGGGUGGUUUUAAUGGUAGGCAUAAAUCUAUUGGGUUUUUGUCCUCAUGACCCAGCAUAUUCUGCCAGGGCAAUGCAGACUCCAGAGAAGGAAGAGAAUUUAUGUGUACAAUAAAACAACAGAGUUUCAGUGAUAUCAGCUGUUUGACGAACUUUAAUAUACAUUUGCUAUAAAACAGGCAGCAAUUACCAGAAUGUGAUACCCAAAUAAAAAUCCAUGAUCCAUUUGCACGACAGAUCUUCGAUUUACUCACAUUCAUGUGAAAGAGACACAUAAAAAUGAUAUCCAUGCUUAAAAUCACUUAGGAGCAGCCUGAAAGACCCCACAGUUGCAAGUGAUACUGCAGUGCUUAGCUAAUACUCAUGUUUCGAUGGCUUUGCCUUCAUGAUUCUUCCAGUGGUUCCUUUAUGUUUUCUGGGAUUUUGCCAAACACCUGUGAAUCAGUGCACAACAAAUAUUCCUCCCAUUUAAUUUAGCCUUGCACAGAAAGGCUAUAUUAGGCCUGAUGCAGACCUAAUCCCAAGCCUCUAAAGAGGUUUAAGGCACUCUGGUUUCACCUAAUCCCGAAACCUAAACCAGAAUCAUUGAAAACCUCCACAGCACCACAGGAAUGGGCAAAUAAAGAGUUUCCACUAUGAAAUUAUUAAAAGGACACAGUGUAUCUUUUGGAUUUGAGACCUAAAGCUCUGCCUAAGGAGCUUGGACUGUCCACAAUAAAAGUGUUUAUUUUGAAGGUAGGAGGUUGAAAGGUUUAUUUGACUAGAGGGCCGAUUUCACCCCUCCCACCCAAAAAAAGAAAAGGGGCGACCCCCCAGAAGAGUGGCAAAUGGGAAAGGGGAGGAAGAAGUGACAAGGCAGGGGCAGCCCAGCAAAGCAGUGAAGAAAGUGAAGCCCAGGUUUCAGUUUAAGCCUCAGUCAUGGUCCCUGUGAGAAAGAGCAAGAGCACAGCCCCUGGUGCACAGCUGGGGUCUUGGGUCCUGAAGUUCCUCACUGCAAACAUGUAAGGAAAGAGUUAUUUAUGAUGUAAGAAAUACAUUGCUGCUGUUCAAAAUGGAGAAUUUGCUCUUUUGAGAUCUCUUACUGAUGGGAGAUAACAUGUAAAAACGUGCUGCAAUGGAACUUUCAAAUACAAAUUGCAUCCAACUGUAAUAAAUUCGAUCUUGCAUUAAUUCAUGUUAAA